Molecule: ribosomal RNA, 165 nt
Filed under: Klebsiella aerogenes
Lineage: Bacteria; Pseudomonadati; Pseudomonadota; Gammaproteobacteria; Enterobacterales; Enterobacteriaceae
Description: partial 16S ribosomal RNA
Rfam family: Bacterial small subunit ribosomal RNA
Source: RNAcentral
CUGGGAACUGCAUUCGAAACUGGCAGGCUAGAGUCUUGUAGAGGGGGGUAGAAUUCCAGGUGUAGCGGUGAAAUGCGUANAGAUCUGGAGGAAUACCGGUGGCGAAGGCGGCCCCCUGGACAAAAACUGACCCUCAGGUGCGAAAACGUGGGGAGCAAACAGGAU